UCUCUCAGUAUCGCUCUCAAAAGUUCCCAAUCAGUGUCGUUCCCAAUCGCUCGCGCCUCGCUCAAACACACCGGGACAUGCAAGAACUCGUGGAUGGGAUAAAAUAGAGCUCACCUUCGGCGGUGAUGACGUUGAUGAAGCUUCGAACUCCUCCAACUCUUCAACCAGGUUUUCUUUGAUUUUUAGGUUAGGGUUUUUUGUAUUUGAAAAUUUCUUCGCCGUUUUUUCUCCUCUCUUCUGAUUCGCUUUCGCUCACUAUUUAUAUCUCCUGAUUUAGGGUUUCAAAGAUGCCUUUGGUAUUCCAGAAGAGUAACUCUGCAAAGCACUUUGGAUGUUCAGAAAUUGGAUUGACC
This 353-nucleotide long non-coding RNA is filed under the name Lathyrus oleraceus (garden pea). Its description in RNAcentral is "Pisum sativum (pea) long non-coding RNA (PSAT_LNC034167)". Lineage: Eukaryota; Viridiplantae; Streptophyta; Magnoliopsida; Fabales; Fabaceae. The record is from RNAcentral.